GAAAUGCGAUAAGUAAUGUGAAUUGCAGAAUUCAGUGAAUCAUCGAAUCUUUGAACGCACAUUGCGCCCCCUGGUAUUCCGGGGGGCAUGACUGUUCGAGCGUCAUUUCACCACUCAAGCCUCGCUUGGUAUUGGGCAACGCGGUCCGCCGCGUGCCUCAAAUCGACCGGCUGGGUCUUCUGUCCCCUAAGCGUUGUGGAAACUAUUCGCUAAAGGGUGUUCGGGAGGCUACGCCGUAAAACAACCCCAUUUCUAAGGUUGACCUCGGAUCAGGUAGGGAUACCCGCUGAACUUAAGC
RNAcentral lists this unclassified non-coding RNA (298 nucleotides) under plant metagenome. Its description in RNAcentral is "partial contains 5.8S ribosomal RNA, internal transcribed spacer 2, and large subunit ribosomal RNA". The stretch from base 1 to 105 matches the Rfam family "5.8S ribosomal RNA", at positions 50 to 154 of the family's 154-position model. The record is from RNAcentral.